This 460-nucleotide ribosomal RNA is filed under the name uncultured bacterium. RNAcentral's name for it is "partial 16S ribosomal RNA". It matches the Rfam family "Bacterial small subunit ribosomal RNA", at positions 338 to 795 of the family's 1533-position model. The record is from RNAcentral.
CCUACGGGUGGCAGCAGUGAGGAAUAUUGGUCAAUGGACGCACGUCUGCACCAGCCAUGCCGCGUGCAGGAAGACGGCUCUAUGAGUUGUAAACUGCUUUUAUACGAGGGUAAACUCAGAUACGCGUAUCUGUCUGAAAGUAUCUUACGAAUAAGGAUCGGCUAACUCCGUGCCAGCAGCCGCGGUAAUACGGAGGAUUCAAGCGUUAUCCGGAUUUAUUGGGUUUAAAGGGUGCGUAGUCGGUCUGAUAAGUUAGAUGUGAAAUUCCGAGGCUCAACUUCGGAAUUGCCUAUGAUACGGUUCGGCGAGAGAGUAUUUGAGGGAGGCGGAAUGUAUGGUGUAGCGGUGAAAUGCUUAGAGAUCAUACAGAACACCGAUUGCGAAGGCAGCUUACCAAGCUAUUUCUGACGUUGAGGCACGAAAGCGUGGGGAGCAAACAGGAUUAGAUACCCGAGUAGUC